RNAcentral lists this ribosomal RNA (424 nucleotides) under uncultured bacterium. RNAcentral describes it as "bacterial SSU rRNA". It matches the Rfam family "Bacterial small subunit ribosomal RNA", at positions 355 to 796 of the family's 1533-position model. The record is from RNAcentral.
UGGGGAAUAUUGGGCAAUGGAGGCAACUCUGACCCAGCCAUGCCGCGUGGGUGACGAAGGUCUUCGGAUUGUAAAGCCCUUUCGGCGGGGACGAUGAUGACGGUACCCGCAGAAGAAGCCCCGGCUAACUUCGUGCCAGCAGCCGCGGUAAUACGAAGGGGGCUAGCGUUGUUCGGAAUUACUGGGCGUAAAGGGCGUGUAGGCGGCCCGUUAAGUCAGGUGUGAAAUUCCUGGGCUCAACCCAGGACGUGCGCCUGAGACUGGCGGGCUUGAGUCCGGGAGAGGAUGGUGGAACUCCCAGUGUAGAGGUGAAAUUCGUAGAUAUUGGGAAGAACACCCGUGGCGAAGGCGGCCAUCUGGACCGGUACUGACGCUAAGGCGCGACAGCGUGGGGAGCAAACAGGAUUAGAUACCCGGGUAGUCC